UACGAAGGGGGCUAGCGUUGUUCGGAAUUACUGGGCGUAAAGCGCGCGCAGGCGGCUAUCCAAGUCAGUGGUGAAAGCCCGGAGCUCAACUCCGGAACUACCAUUGAAACUGUUUAGCUUGAGGACGAGAGAGGUGAGUGGAAUUCCCAGUGUAGAGGUGAAAUUCGUAGAUAUUGGGAAGAACACCGGUGGCGAAGGCGGCUCACUGGCUCGUAUCUGACGCUCAGGCGCGACAGCGUGGGGAGCAAACAGG
This 253-nucleotide ribosomal RNA is filed under the name uncultured bacterium. RNAcentral's name for it is "partial 16S ribosomal RNA". It matches the Rfam family "Bacterial small subunit ribosomal RNA", at positions 524 to 776 of the family's 1533-position model. The record is from RNAcentral.